GUGGGGAAUAUUGGACAAUGGGCGCAAGCCUGAUCCAGCCAUGCCGCGUGAGUGAUGAAGGUCUUAGGAUUGUAAAGCUCUUUCACCGGUGAAGAUAAUGACGGUAACCGGAGAAGAAGCCCCGGCUAACUUCGUGCCAGCAGCCGCGGUAAUACGAAGGGGGCUAGCGUUGUUCGGAUUUACUGGGCGUAAAGCGCACGUAGGCGGACAUUUAAGUCAGGGGUGAAAUCCCAGGGCUCAACUCUGGAACUGCCUUUGAUACUGGGUGUCUGGAGUAUGGAAGAGGUAAGUGGAAUUCCGAGUGUAGAGGUGAAAUUCGUAGAUAUUCGGAGGAACACCAGUGGCGAAGGCGGCUUACUGGUCCAUUACUGACGCUGAGGUGCGAAAGCGUGGGGAGCAAACAGG
RNAcentral lists this ribosomal RNA (405 nucleotides) under uncultured Rhizobiaceae bacterium. RNAcentral's name for it is "bacterial SSU rRNA". It matches the Rfam family "Bacterial small subunit ribosomal RNA", at positions 354 to 776 of the family's 1533-position model. The record is from RNAcentral. Lineage: Bacteria; Pseudomonadati; Pseudomonadota; Alphaproteobacteria; Hyphomicrobiales; Rhizobiaceae.